Molecule: non-coding RNA, 117 nt
Organism: Homo sapiens (human)
Lineage: Eukaryota; Metazoa; Chordata; Mammalia; Primates; Hominidae
Rfam family: Metazoan signal recognition particle RNA
About the family: The signal recognition particle (SRP) is a universally conserved ribonucleoprotein. It is involved in the co-translational targeting of proteins to membranes.
Source: Rfam
GCUGGGCAAGAUGGCUCAUGCCUGUAAUCCCAGCAAUUUGGGAGGCUGAGAUGGGAGGAUCACUUGAGCCCAGGAGUUCCAGACCAGCCUGGGCAACAAAGUGAAACCUUGUCUCUA